AAAAAUAAACAGCAUUCGUGGGUUAUCCCGACCUCUCUUCCUUGUCGCGUCCUCUUUCGAUACCUCCCGACCGCCUUCCUCUCUCGCGAUUUCUCAGCCCCUCUCUGCCUCUUCCUCCGUCCCUGCGCUUAUCUUCCUCUUCCGAUUGCUCUGCUCGUAUGCAGGUCCUGUGCCUGUUCGCGUUGUCUGGGGAGUAGCGUCCUUCUUCUCCAGGUCGCCCCUGCUGCCUCCCCAGUUACGCCGUAGCGUCCUCGCCUCCUUCACAAUCUGGUCUCACUGGAGGCCGCGAAGACGCCGGCGGUGGCGGGGAUCCCUAUUCAGCCUCCCGGACCGCCGUCCUGAACCCGUGAAUCCCGAGAGAAAUGGCGGCCCUCCCUAACCUAGUGGCGUCUCCCAGACUGCCGUCCAUCUCCUCCCUCCUCUUCCUCCAUGCGCUCAGGUCACCACGGUAGCUGGGCGCGGGCCGCGAUUCGUGACGCUGGGCGUCUGCUUCCAAUUUCUCCCGCGAGAUCGAGUUCUGGAUCCGCUGCUGCUCGGCUUCUUCGGCUACCUCCCAAGCAUCAUCUACGCUGUCUGGCGGACUGGGUCAUCACCAAGUAGAACCAUUACGGCUCCUCUUCCUGUAUAUGCAGGUUUCAGGAAUUUGGGAAAUUUAACCAGCUAAGCUGAUCCAUGUCUCUUGCUUUAGAAUGAUUAUACAGAGCUGCAUAUAAAAGGUAAUUUUAUUUUACCAUCACAUAGGCUUAUGGACUAGAGGUUUUCCAUCAUGCACUGGGAAACAUUUCAAUCCCACCAAAUACGACGGUAACGAGGCCUCCUCGCUGGAACAAUGCACCUUUGGCAUAAUCAUGGCUGCCUUCCUAUGGAUGCGCCUCUUUUUCAAUCCUUGCAUCCAUAAUAUUAUUUGUGUCUAAUUAGUUCUUAUUUGUCUCAACUAGGUUUUGUGAGGCCUGGAGAUGCACACUCCACAUCAGAUUCAAAGUUGAAGCACUGCUUAUUUCCUAGAGACUGGAACAUCUCUUCUGAUAACAAGGUACUAGGAAAUUAGUACUUUCUAUUGCAGCUAUUGUCAACGAUUUUCAUUUUUACUUCUGGAAUGAUAAAUGAUGUGCAUAAGCUUCAAAACUUUCGAUGGAGAGGAAGGGAGGGAGCACAAGAAGCUUUGUGAUUUGUUCUAUAGAUGUUUCGAAGGAGAAGAUUGUGCCCCUCAAGGUUGACCAUAUAUGCAGUUUGGGAUCAUUUCUUGUGGCUAUGUGAUUACAUGUAGAUUUAUGGUGGAAUAUCUAGAUCAAGUAAAUUGUGAUGUUCAAACGAACGGGCCAACACUACAGAGCUUAGUGCUAGGACUGAUUUGUGUUCAAGUAUUGUCGCACCUCUUGGUUUGUGUUCUUGAAGUACAUAGCACAAAAAAAUAAUUCGGUUGGAUGUGUAAGAGCUCAAAGUUUAUGUACAAAUAAAUGUAAUCGAGUAACAGUGACAGUGAGUUCGUACAUGUGUAUGGAAUUAAUAUAAACUAAAGACAAUUGAGUGGCUUAAUCUUUGUUCAGUCCAUGGCCUAUAGUGAAUAAUAUAUUCUUGAAUUACAAAACAAUGAACAGUCCAUGGCAACAUAAAAGUUUGGCUGCAACUGACUUGACCUGUAGGCUGUAGGCAACAUAAAAGGAUGAGGUGGUUAUGUUUUUUUAAAAAGUAGUGAGGCUGUAAUGUUUAAUGGAAGAGAGAUUAGAAAGGAGAAGAAGGUUCAAUGGCUCAGCCUUCGGCAUUCAGGAAAAAAUGCAGCCAAGAAAAUUUUAAAAUUAUUAGAAAGGUAUGCAAGAUUUAGUAGGAAGUUAGAUCUAUGGAAUUAGUUCAUUGGAUUAAACAGAAAUAGGACUAUGCUGUUUAUUUUGGAUGAAAAAUUACUUUGGAGUUUCACAUUCUAUUUUCAGAAUAAGCUCAAAUCAAAGA
Brachypodium distachyon (stiff brome) is the source of this 1947-nucleotide long non-coding RNA. RefSeq lists it as uncharacterized. The record is from RefSeq and is a predicted model, not a curated record. NCBI's taxonomy places the organism in Eukaryota, Viridiplantae, Streptophyta, Magnoliopsida, Poales, Poaceae. The transcript is spliced from 4 exons.